GUUUCAUGAAAAUAGUUUGAGUUCUACGUUUCUUGUGUGAAUUGAUGUGCAACCUGACAGAUAACCGCUUAUAUUUAAGUAUUUGCACUGGUUGCCCCUUGACGUGUAAUCCCAAAAGCAUUGGCUCGUUGGCACGUUGACAAAGUGUCAUCGUCAAUUUGUAUUCGUCCCAUCGAAGACUGGUUUUCCAGGAUUGGUGAAGUUUAUACACUAUUGAAACUCUUCGAUCCCAAGUUGAGUUUGCCCAAAUACAGUCCACUGAGCCUUUUAUGACGAUCCCCGUAACAGACUAUGUUUUCUUAGGGCUCAACUUUUUUCAAAAUUUUCUCUUUUUGCGUCCAAAUGAUAAACUUAAGCAUAUAUGAUUUAAAGAAACAUGCAGUUAGUUUAGUGCUUAUCCUAUUUUCUAUAUAUUUUGAAGAAAUCCAUAAAAAUGGUUUACAUCAACGAAAACGUUUUUCGAUCCCGGUGUAAUCAGCUGAAUGCAUUAUGACACAAGAGGACAGCAAAGUAGCCGUAAUUCCAUGGUGAUGUCAUGUCAAUAAACUCACUGCGCCGAACUAUCUAUAGAACAUCUUAAAGAAGCCAAUCGCACUGCUACAAUAAAUAGAGCGAUACAAAUUCA
This is a long non-coding RNA of Daphnia pulicaria, 625 nucleotides long. RefSeq lists it as uncharacterized. NCBI's taxonomy places the organism in Eukaryota, Metazoa, Arthropoda, Branchiopoda, Diplostraca, Daphniidae. The transcript is spliced from 3 exons. The record is from RefSeq and is a predicted model, not a curated record.